UACGUAGGGCGCAAGCGUUGUCCGGAAUUAUUGGGCGUAAAGAGCUCGUAGGCGGCUUGUCACGUCGGGUGUGAAAGCCCGGGGCUUAACCCCGGGUCUGCAUUCGAUACGGGCUGGCUAGAGUGUGGUAGGGGAGAUCGGAAUUCCUGGUGUAGCGGUGAAAUGCGCAGAUAUCAGGAGGAACACCGGUGGCGAAGGCGGGUCUCUGGGCAACAACUGACGCUGAGGAGCGAAAGCGUGGGGAGCGAACAGG
RNAcentral lists this ribosomal RNA (253 nucleotides) under uncultured bacterium. Its description in RNAcentral is "partial 16S ribosomal RNA". It matches the Rfam family "Bacterial small subunit ribosomal RNA", at positions 524 to 776 of the family's 1533-position model. The record is from RNAcentral.